Small nuclear RNA from Callithrix jacchus (white-tufted-ear marmoset), 61 nucleotides. Its record names the gene U7. It matches the Rfam family "U7 small nuclear RNA". From Rfam's summary of the family: Animal histone pre-mRNAs are spliced by a different mechanism than nuclear pre-mRNAs and self-splicing introns. This processing involves the U7 snRNP, which contains only one RNA species: U7. Lineage: Eukaryota; Metazoa; Chordata; Mammalia; Primates; Cebidae. The record is from Ensembl.
CAGUGUUACAGCUUUUAGAAUUUGUCUAGCAGGCUUUCUGGGGUUUUGCUGGAAAGUACAA